GGGCCCGCACAAGCGGUGGAGCAUGUGGUUUAAUUCGAUGAUACGCGAGGAACCUUACCAGGGCUUAAAUGUAGUGGGACAGGUCUAGAGAUAGACCCUUCUUCGGACUCAUUACAAGGUGCUGCAUGGUUGUCGUCAGCUCGUGCCGUGAGGUGUCAGGUUAAGUCCUAUAACGAGCGCAACCCCUAUCGUUAGUUGCCAGCGGGUAAUGCCGGGAACUCUAGCGAAACUGCCGGUGCAAACCGAGAGGAAGGUGGGGAUGACGUCAAAUCAUCACGGCCCUUACGUCCUGGGCUACACACGUGCUACAAUGGCCGGUACAGAGAGCAGCCACUACGCGAGUAGGAGCGAAUCUUCAAAGCCGGUCUCAGUUCGGAUUGCAGGCUGCAACUCGCCUGCAUGAAGUUGGAAUC
RNAcentral lists this ribosomal RNA (413 nucleotides) under uncultured bacterium. RNAcentral describes it as "bacterial SSU rRNA". It matches the Rfam family "Bacterial small subunit ribosomal RNA", at positions 917 to 1333 of the family's 1533-position model. The record is from RNAcentral.